This is a long non-coding RNA of Chinchilla lanigera (long-tailed chinchilla), 261 nucleotides long. RefSeq lists it as uncharacterized. Lineage: Eukaryota; Metazoa; Chordata; Mammalia; Rodentia; Chinchillidae. The transcript has 3 exons. The record is from RefSeq and is a predicted model, not a curated record.
CAGCUGCGUCAUCUCCAUCUUUGGCAACAGAGUUGGCAGUUGUGUGCAUCUACAGAGGCUUCUAAAUAGCAAGAGUGUACAAAGAGGAGCUGACUAUGUUUCGGAACUGACUUGCAUGUUUUCCACUGUCAACAUCUCAACGCUCCUCAAGUUUUGAGAAGAUUUUUUGCAUAUAUGUGAAAUACAGAAUGGCUACUAUCAAACCAAGAAGAAACAAGUGCCAGUGAAGAUGCAGAGAAAAAUGCACCCUUACAAACUGUU